Long non-coding RNA from Gasterosteus aculeatus aculeatus (three-spined stickleback), 2265 nucleotides. NCBI's taxonomy places the organism in Eukaryota, Metazoa, Chordata, Actinopteri, Perciformes, Gasterosteidae. The record is from Ensembl.
UUUUUAUUAAAAUUUAUUUUCAUUGUUAAAAUAAUAAACAGACGACAUAUUUAACAAUAAUAAUAACACAAUCAUUGGGAAAAACAUCUAAAGCAGUUCCUGAGAAGAGAGAAAAGAAGAAAAGUUAUUAACAUGUUAAUGUUGUUAGUGUAUCUGUGUGUACAUCUAAUUGUUAGUGUGUCUGUGUGUACAUCUAAAUGUUAGUGUGUCUGUGUGUACAUCUAAAUAUUAAUAUGUCUUUGUGUACAUCUAAAUAUUAGUGUGUGUCUUUGUUUAGUACCGAAUGUUAGUGUGUCUGUGUGUACAUCUAAAUAUUAGUGUGUGUCUUUGUGUACAUCUAAAUGUUAGUGUGUGUCUUUGUUUAUAACCAAAUGUUAGGGUGUCUGUGUGUACAUCUAAUUGUUAGUGUGUCUGUGUGUACAUCUAAUUGUUAGUGUGUCCCGAUGACGUAGCGUCCCGAUGACGUGGCGUCCUGAUGGCGUCCUGAUGGCGUCCUGUUGGUCUGCAGACAAGGAGAAGAGACGUGAGGAGGAUCAUCAGGAUGUGUCCGUGUGUACAUCUAAUUGUUAGUGUGUCUGUGUGUACAUCUAAUUGUUAGUGGGUCUGUGUGUACAUUUAAAUAUUAAUGUGUCCUUGUGCAGAACCAGAUGUUUGUGUGUUUUUGUGUACUUCUGAAUACUAAUGUGUCUGUGUGUACAUCUAAUUGUUAUUGUGUCUUUGUGUACAUCUAAAUAUUAGCGUGUGUCUUUGUUUAGAACCAAAUGAUAGUGUGUCUGUGUGUAUAUCUAAUUGUUAAUGUGUCUUUGUGUACAUCUAAAUGUUAGUGUGUGUCUUUGUUUAGAACCAAAUGUUAGUGUGUCUGUGUGUACAUCUAAUUGUUAGUGUGUCUGUGUGUGGAUCUAAAUAUUAAUGUGUCUUUGUGUACAUCUAAAUGUUAGUCUGUGUCUUUGUUUAGAACCAAAUGAUAGUGUGUCUGUGUGUACAUCUAAUUGUUAUUGUGUCUUUUUGUACAUCUAAAUGUUAGUGUGUGUCUUUGUUUAGAACCAAAUAAUAGUGUGUCUGUGUGUACAUCUAAUUGUACAUCUAAAUUUGCCAGCGUGUCUAAAUGUUAGUGUGUCUCUGAGUACAUCUGUGUGUGUGUGUGUGUGUGUCAUGAGUGGAUCUGGAUUUGCUCCUGAGGGGUUGACGCGGCGUCCUGAUGGAAUCCUGAUGGCGUCCCGAUGACGUGGCGUCCUGAUGACGUAGCGUCCCGAUGACGUGGCGUCCUGAUGGCGUCUUGUUGGUCUGCAGACAAGGAGAAGAGACGUGAGGAGGAUAAUCAGGAUGUGCCUGUGUGUACAUCUAAUUGUUAGUGUGUCUGUGUGUAGAUCUAAUUGUUAGUGUGUCCGUGUCUACAUCUAAUUGUUAGUGCGUCUGUGUGUAGAUCUAAUUGUUAGUGUGUCUGUGUGUAGAUCUAAUUAGUGGGUCUGUGUGUACAUUUAAAUAUUAAUGUGUCUUUGUGCAGAACCAGAUGUUUGUGUGUUUUUGUGUACUUCUGAAUACUAAUGUGUCUGUGUGUACAUCUAAUUGUUAUUGUGUCUUUGUGUACAUCUAAAUAUUAGUGUGUGUCUUUGUUUAGAACCAAAUGAUAGUGUGUCUGUGUGUAUAUCUAAUUGUUAUUGUGUCUUUGUGUACAUCUAAAUAUUAGUGUGUGUCAUUGUUUAGAACCAAAUGAUAGUGUGUCUGUGUGUACAUCUAAAUAUGAAUGUGUCUUUGUGUACAUCUAAAUGUUAGUGUGUGUCUUUGUUUAGAACCAAAUGUUAGUGUGUCUGUGUGUACAUCUAAAUGUUAGUGUGUCUGUGUGUACAUCUAAAAUGUUAUGUGUCUGUGUGUACAUCUAAUUGUUAGUGUGUCUGUGUGUACAUCUAAAUAUUAAUGUGUCUUUGUGUACAUCUAAAUGUUAGUGUGUGUCUUUGUUUAGAACAAAAUGUUAGUGUCUGUGUGUACAUCUGUGUGUGUGUGUGUGUGUGUGGGGGGGGGGGGGUGUCAUGCGUAGAUUUGCUCCUGAGGGGUUGACGUGACGUCCUGAUGGCGUCCCGUUGACGUGGCGUCCUGAUGGCGUCCUGAUGGCGUCCCGUUGGUCUGCAGACAAGGAGAAGAGACGUGAGGAGGAUCAUCAGGAUGUUUCAUCAAGACAAGAUUCAUAGAUCCCAUUAUUUUAAUUUGAUGCACAUUUUAAUUAUUUCAUGUUUGUAUGGAUGUGUAAAUCUACAUUAUAUAUUUGUG